This 468-nucleotide ribosomal RNA is filed under the name uncultured bacterium. RNAcentral's name for it is "partial 16S ribosomal RNA". It matches the Rfam family "Bacterial small subunit ribosomal RNA", at positions 28 to 507 of the family's 1533-position model. The record is from RNAcentral.
GACGAACGCUGGCGGCGUGCUUAACACAUGCAAGUCGAACGGAAAGGCCCUGCUUUUGUGGGGUGCUCGAGUGGCGAACGGGUGAGUAACACGUGAGUAACCUGCCCUUGACUUUGGGAUAACUUCAGGAAACUGGGGCUAAUACCGGAUAGGAGCUCCUGCUGCAUGGUGGGGGUUGGAAAGUUUCGGCGGUUGGGGAUGGACUCGCGGCUUAUCAGCUUGUUGGUGGGGUAGUGGCUUACCAAGGCUUUGACGGGUAGCCGGCGUGGGAGGGUGACCGGCCACCUGGGGACUGAGAUACGGCCCAGACUCCUACGGGAGGCAGCAGUGGGGAAUAUUGCACAAUGGGCGGAAGCCUGAUGCAGCAACGCCGCGUGCGGGAUGACGGCCUUCGGGUUAUAAACCGCUUUCGCCUGUGACGAAGCGUGAGUGACGGUAAUGGGUAAAGAAGCACCGGCUAACUACGUG